This 359-nucleotide ribosomal RNA is filed under the name Bacillus sp. P14-1. RNAcentral describes it as "bacterial SSU rRNA". It matches the Rfam family "Bacterial small subunit ribosomal RNA", at positions 183 to 527 of the family's 1533-position model. Lineage: Bacteria; Bacillati; Bacillota; Bacilli; Caryophanales; Bacillaceae. The record is from RNAcentral.
GAACUGCAUGGUUCGAAAUUGAAAGGCGGCUUCGGCUGUCACUUAUGGAUGGACCCGCGUCGCAUUAGCUAGUUGGUGAGGUAACGGCUCACCAAGGCAACGAUGCGUAGCCGACCUGAGAGGGUGAUCGGCCACACUGGGACUGAGACACGGCCCAGACUCCUACGGGAGGCAGCAGUAGGGAAUCUUCCGCAAUGGACGAAAGUCUGACGGAGCAACGCCGCGUGAGUGAUGAAGGCUUUCGGGUCGUAAAACUCUGUUGUUAGGGAAGAACAAGUGCUAGUUGAAUAAGCUGGCACCUUGACGGUACCUAACCAGAAAGCCACGGCUAACUACGUGCCAGCAGCCGCGGUAAUACG